This 253-nucleotide ribosomal RNA is filed under the name uncultured bacterium. Its description in RNAcentral is "partial 16S ribosomal RNA". It matches the Rfam family "Bacterial small subunit ribosomal RNA", at positions 524 to 776 of the family's 1533-position model. The record is from RNAcentral.
UACAGAGGUGGCGAGCGUUGUUCGGAUUUACUGGGCGUAAAGGGUGCGUAGGCGGUUCUGCAUGUCGGGUGUGAAAUCCCACGGAUCAUCCGUGGAACGGCAUUCGAAACUGCAGGGCUGGAGUGCGGGAGAGGAAGGUGGAAUUCUCGGUGUAGCGGUGAAAUGCGUUGAUAUCGAGAGGAACGCCGGUGGUGAAGACGACCUUCUGGAACGCAACUGACGCUGAGGCACGAAAGCUAGGGGAGCAAACAGG